AUGCAUUGCAGUUCACAGCACCUGGUCACCUUUCAGACAAACCACCUUACUUACUUCCUAUUCUACAGCUGCGGAUUUCCUAUGCAUAGAAUCCUCCUCUGGGACUCACCAUACUGUGUGUGCAGGCUCCACUGGGCCCUCCAUGUUGCCUUGAGAGAUCUGAGGACUGGUGCGACAAUACUGAUACACCUGUUUCUCCUGCUGCAACUGGUAAAGUCCUUUGUCUCUGACUCAAGAGUCCCACGUCAGCAUCCAUGGAACUGCGACAGGCUUACUUAUCAACUUGUAUGGUUUUUUGUUGGAAGUUAUCCUGCUUCUGCGAUGUCAAAUUUAUUGAAAUUUGAAGCUGAAAGUAUGAUUCUGAGACAAGGACACGUACCCUUGAAAUACUACUUGGUUCGUGCUGGACAUUUAAAGGUCAUGUCAAGUAAUAUAAGCAUGAACAAAAAUACCAACUCUGAAAUUUUAAGUGCGUUUGGAGAAGGCAACUUCAUAGGGGAUUUUUAUGGUAUUCUUGUACAGACAGUACAACAAUAUCAAGAAACAUGCAACUUCCUAAGCUUCUUAGGGCUGAAGCCAGCCACCUGUUAGAGCCACUUGACUCCACUGUGUGCCUGUAGAAUGCUGAGAAAAGUUUAUUGGAGGAAUCUAGUUUUCUGCAAUCAGCCUGGGCUCACCAGACACACUCUAGCUCCGUUCUUCAUGUUUUGGUCUCUGGUAUUCCUCUGUCUCCUGGGGACCCUUCAGAAGCUAAGGUCUAGCUUGUUCAUCCAGCACUCCUCUGCCUCCAAAUACCAUAUCGAGGUAGGUCUGACUCUACUCCCCCUCCCAGAGCCACUGGAAGUGAAUUCAUGCUAUUUUUAAAAGUCUCUUUGUUGUCAUUUAGUAGCUAAGUUGUAUCCCAUUAUUUUGUGACCCCCUCCCCUGGCCUUUCAGGCUCCUCUGUCCAUGGGAUUUCCCAGGCAACAAUACUGGAGUGAGCUGUUAUUUCCUUCUCCAGGGGAUCUUCCUGACCCAGGGAUCAAACCUGCAUCUUCUGCAUUGGCAGGUGGGUUGUUCUCUGAGCCCCUGAGAAGCCCUUGCUGCUGCUGCUGCUAAGUCACAUCAGUCGUGUCUGACUCUGUGCGACCCCAUAGAUGGCAGCCCACCAGGCUCCCAUCCCUG
Molecule: long non-coding RNA, 1164 nt
Filed under: Bos indicus x Bos taurus (hybrid cattle)
Lineage: Eukaryota; Metazoa; Chordata; Mammalia; Artiodactyla; Bovidae
Description: lncRNA (ENSBIXG00000005159.1)
Source: RNAcentral